CCUCAAAAGUCUGGGUAUUAAUAUAAGGUGGAGUACACAGCAUCGUAUCGUCAGGCGUGCUAGCUAAGCAGGAUAAAUGGAAGCACAAGUUAGGGUGUGUGUAAGGCUCUCAAGGGAGGUGCACGGGAGUGGCUCUUUACAUGGCAGAAAAGAAUGACAACGUUUUGGGAGCAGAUUUUUUCAAGGGAAGGCGUGGAAGCUGAGGCUGCUCAGUGAGGACUGAAUUCAGAUUUGGCCAACAGGAGGGAAUGUGGAGCUGGGAAAAAUCAGCCUUGCAAGCAGGACGGUGUUCAGACACCACCAAGGAACUGAGGUGAGCUGGCUGCUGCAAGGACGCUGUGUACGGCACUGCUCCGCAGAAGGUGCAGAAGACAGACCUGGCCUGGGACAUCACACAGAUCUACCCCACGGAAAAGAAGAUCCCAGCAGAAGGCCAGCACACAGAUGUGUCGGAUCAUGCUGCAUUCCACACACUAGAAGUCACGAUCUCCUCACUGAGCCAUCAGAUCUCCUCACUGAGCCAUCAGGCAGCGUGACUUCGGCCUUCCUUACAUUUGAAAGCACUCAGACAUACUAGAAGAAAUUCCAGUCAUUGCAAAUAAAUUUAGCCUACUGCUAAAAAGCCAGAAGGUGCCUUGCAAAACACUCUCACUUUUACAGUAAGUGAUAGCACCAAUGUUCUUUACCUGGAGUCAUAAUCCUCCAAACAACAGUAAACUAAGAACAGAAUAGAGUCUGGAAAGUUUAAGUAAGAGAGCCCAUGAAAGACUCUCCAGCCCCAAGAGUCACAGAAUCACAGACUAAUUCAGGCUGGAAGGCAUCCCUGAGGCCAUCUGACCGGACAACCUGCUUAUAGCAGGGCUAACUUCAAAACUAGGUCAGGUUGCUCAAGGCCUCGACCAGCUGAGUUUUGAAAACUUCCCAGGACCAGGACUCCACAGCCUCUCUGGGCACCUGUUCCAGGUGCAUAAUCACCUUCAGGAUGAAAUUUUCUUUCCUCAUAUCCAGUCAGAGUUUGCCUUACUGCAAAAUGCGUCCAUUGCCUCUUGUACCUUUCCUGGUGCAUCUCUGAGAAGCAUCUGUCUCUGUCUUCUCUGUAGCCCCCUCUCUAAGCAGUGGAAGAUGGCAAUUAGCUUUCCCCUUCCCCUUCUCUUUUUGAGGCUAAACAAACCUUAUUGUCUCAGUGUCUCCUCCCAUGUCACGUGCCCCAGAUCAUCCUUGUGAUCCUCUGCUGAAUCCCCUCAUGUAAGGUGGACACAAUUCUCCAAAUGCCGCCUCAUGAAUACCAAAUUGAGGGAAUUGUCCUGCUGGCAAGCUUCUUGUUAGAGAAAGAUCCUCCUUCUUGCCUUUCUUGGAGGUGGGUGUGACAUUUGCCUCUCUUCUUGGCAUUGAGGACCUCAUGCAAUUAGCAUAAUCUUUCAAAUAUGAUAGGCGUGGCCUUGCAAUGACACCAGCCAGCUGCCUCAUAACUCUUGGAUCCACGCCAUCCCAUCCCAAGGACUUGUACAUGUCCCCGUGCUUAUGCUGAUGCAUUUCUUUACGCAGUCUCUGACUUCAUCUUCCCCUACCAUUGGCAAUAUUUGUUUCCUACAAACCCUGCCACAAGGCGUGCAGCUCUGGGAGGCUGAAGGCAGACUUUGACAGCAAAGAGUAACGAAAAGAAGAAAACGAGAUCUUCAGUCUUAUCUGGGUCUCCUAUUACCAGGUCUCCUGCCCUAUUAGACAUUGUUCCUAGCUGGCAAUACUUUAUCCAGGGGAGGUUUGGGUGUCCAAAUUCUGCAAUAAAUUUUCACUUAUGAA
Chroicocephalus ridibundus (black-headed gull) is the source of this 1800-nucleotide long non-coding RNA. RefSeq lists it as uncharacterized. The record is from RefSeq and is a predicted model, not a curated record. Lineage: Eukaryota; Metazoa; Chordata; Aves; Charadriiformes; Laridae. The transcript is spliced from 3 exons.